UACGUAGGUGGCAAGCGUUGUCCGGAAUUAUUGGGCGUAAAGCGCGCGCAGGCGGGCCCUUAAGUCUGAUGUGAAAGCCCACGGCUCAACCGUGGAGGGUCAUUGGAAACUGGGGGACUUGAGUGCAGAAGAGGAAAGUGGAAUUCCAUGUGUAGCGGUGAAAUGCGUAGAGAUGUGGAGGAACACCAGUGGCGAAGGCGACUUUCUGGUCUGUAACUGACGCUGAGGCGCGAAAGCGUGGGGAGCAAACAGG
Molecule: ribosomal RNA, 253 nt
Filed under: uncultured bacterium
Lineage: Bacteria
Description: partial 16S ribosomal RNA
Rfam family: Bacterial small subunit ribosomal RNA
Source: RNAcentral